AUUGAACGCUGGCGGCAUGCCUUACACAUGCAAGUCGAACGGCAGCGGACCUUCGGGUGCCGGCGAGUGGCGAACGGGUGAGUAAAGUAUCGGAACGUACCUUUCAGUGGGGGAUAACUGUCCGAAAGGACAGCUAAUACCGCAUAUUCUGUGAGCAGGAAAGCAGGGGAUCGCAAGACCUUGCGCUGAUUGAGCGGCCGAUAUCAGAUUAGCUAGUUGGUGAGGUAAAGGCUCACCAAGGCGACGAUCUGUAGCGGGUCUGAGAGGAUGAUCCGCCACACUGGAACUGAGACACGGUCCAGACUCCUACGGGAGGCAGCAGUGGGGAAUUUUGGACAAUGGGGGCAACCCUGAUCCAGCCAUGCCGCGUGAGUGAAGAAGGCCCUGGUUGUAA
Molecule: ribosomal RNA, 394 nt
Filed under: uncultured bacterium
Lineage: Bacteria
Description: bacterial SSU rRNA
Rfam family: Bacterial small subunit ribosomal RNA
Source: RNAcentral